GGAACCAUAUUGUUCUUAACAUAGACAUCAACCGAGUAUACAUCACAAGCAAUAUCAGAGUGAGAUGCAGAAGGAGAAUCAUAGACACAGGUAGAAUAAGCAUUGCUCACAUAACCAAAAUAGGUAGACAUGGGAAAGAAGGGGGAAAAGAAGAAUGCAAUGAAAAUAUGCAACUAAAGCUACCUAAAUGCAACACACAAUGACGAACACACAAAACAGAACAUCACACUCACAACACAAGAAAAAACACAACACACACUAACAUAACAAAAGACCUAAAAUUGAACCGUUGGUCCCCGACAGCGGCGCCAAAAUUUGAUGGGUGUCGUAGCCCAUACAAAUUUGAUUGCAUAUGAGAAUGCAGUAUAGUGCUAGGAAGUGACUCCUAGCUCGUCUCUCAAGGACCAAACUAUGGUUCAAGUAUUAGGUCAAACUAUGGUUCA
Molecule: long non-coding RNA, 443 nt
Filed under: Vigna radiata
Lineage: Eukaryota; Viridiplantae; Streptophyta; Magnoliopsida; Fabales; Fabaceae
Description: long non-coding RNA (VRAD_LNC016668)
Source: RNAcentral